Molecule: ribosomal RNA, 274 nt
Filed under: uncultured bacterium
Lineage: Bacteria
Description: partial 16S ribosomal RNA
Rfam family: Bacterial small subunit ribosomal RNA
Source: RNAcentral
AUACGGAGGGUGCAAGCGUUACUCGGAAUCACUGGGCGUAAAGCGCGCGCAGGCGGUCUUUUAAGUUGGAUGUGAAAGCCUACGGCUCAACCGUAGAACUGCAUCCAAAACUAUUAGACUAGAGUGUGGGAGAGGAAGAUGGAAUUAGUUGUGUAGGGGUAAAAUCCGUAGAGAUAACUAGGAAUACCAAAAGCGAAGGCGAUCUUCUGGAACAGUACUGACGCUGAGGCGCGAAAGCGUGGGGAGCAAACAGGAUUAGAUACCCUAGUAGUCC